RNAcentral lists this ribosomal RNA (496 nucleotides) under uncultured bacterium. RNAcentral describes it as "partial 16S ribosomal RNA". It matches the Rfam family "Bacterial small subunit ribosomal RNA", at positions 28 to 507 of the family's 1533-position model. The record is from RNAcentral.
GAUGAACGCUGGCGGCGUGCCUAAUACAUGCAAGUAGAACGCUGAAGGAAGGAGCUUGCUCUUUCCGGAUGAGUUGCGAACGGGUGAGUAACGCGUAGGUAACCUGCCUGGUAGCGGGGGAUAACUAUUGGAAACGAUAGCUAAUACCGCAUAACAGUAGAUGUUGCAUGAUAUCUACUUAAAAGGUGCAAUUGCACCACUACCAGAUGGACCUGCGUUGUAUUAGCUAGUUGGUGAGGUAACGGCUCACCAAGGCGACGAUACAUAGCCGACCUGAGAGGAGGAUGAGCCACAAGGGAACUGAGAGACGGCCCAGAGCCCGAGGGGAGGCAACAUAGGGAAAUAGUGGACAAUGGCCGAAAGCCUGACGCAGGAAGACGGGGUAGGGGAAGAGGGCCUUCGGGUGUUAAACUCUUUUUGUUUGGAAAGACAAGUGGCAGAGUAAAACCAUGACACAGUGACGGUACCCAAAGAAUAAGCAACGGCUAACUUCGUG